Non-coding RNA from Cucurbita pepo subsp. pepo (vegetable marrow), 436 nucleotides. Lineage: Eukaryota; Viridiplantae; Streptophyta; Magnoliopsida; Cucurbitales; Cucurbitaceae. The record is from RefSeq and is a predicted model, not a curated record.
CUUUCCUCUCUCUCUUUUCUCUCUUCCCUUCUCUCUCCUUCGAAUUCUUUUUUGUAAUCUGAACGGAAUUUUUCUUGGUCAGCCGUCAUCUCCGUCGUUCGCCGGGUGGCGCCACCGGUAAACUGCCGUCCGUACGGCGAUCCAACCAGUGCCCUCAGGAAUAAAAAGUUCACAAAAUCUUGUUAGACGAUUUUGCCCCUGGGAAUAUCAACUUCCUACGGUUUUGCCACGGGGGCCUAGCUUGCUGGCAUUUAACAAAGGGCCGAGAAAAAAAAGGCAAAUGAGUUUCCAUUGCCACAGCCGUGGGCUGUUAUCAGCUGGGCCGUCAAGAAAGCGGAAGGAGCCGUCGGCUCUUAAAGCCGGAAGUUCGACCCGGAUCGAGCCGAAGCAAGCCCAUUCCCGACCAUCGCCGCCGCUCAGUACAAGAAGCCGAAGA